This 218-nucleotide unclassified non-coding RNA is filed under the name Paraglomus occultum. RNAcentral describes it as "partial contains 5.8S ribosomal RNA and internal transcribed spacer 2". The stretch from base 1 to 65 matches the Rfam family "5.8S ribosomal RNA", at positions 84 to 154 of the family's 154-position model. The record is from RNAcentral. Lineage: Eukaryota; Fungi; Glomeromycota; Glomeromycetes; Paraglomerales; Paraglomeraceae.
GUGAAUCAUCGAAUCUUUGAACGCAAAUUGCGCCUUUUUCGGAAGGCAUGUCUGUUUGAGGGCACCAUUUAACAAAUAAUGUGCAUUUUUUUUUCACACGGUUAUUAGCUUUCCAAAAUUUUGGUAUAUUUUUUUUUGGCGCAUAUUAUACACAGCGCUACUUUUUUUUUGUUUUAGUGUAUUAAAAUUUUUUUUUUUUUGUGUUUUGUAAAAGCGGU